This 253-nucleotide ribosomal RNA is filed under the name uncultured bacterium. Its description in RNAcentral is "partial 16S ribosomal RNA". It matches the Rfam family "Bacterial small subunit ribosomal RNA", at positions 524 to 776 of the family's 1533-position model. The record is from RNAcentral.
UACGGAGGGUGCAAGCGUUGCUCGGAAUUAUUGGGCGUAAAGCGCGUGCAGGCGGUCUUGCCAGUCUGAUGUGAAAUCUCCCCGCUCAACGGGGAGCAGCCAUUGGAAACUACAAGACUGGAGUCUGACAGAGGUAGGCGGAAUUCCGGGUGGAGUGGUGAAAUGCGUAGAGAUCCGGAGGAACACCAGAGGCGAAGGCGGCCUACUGGGUCAGUACUGACGCUGAGCCGCGAAAGCCAGGGGAGCGAACGGG